This 484-nucleotide ribosomal RNA is filed under the name uncultured bacterium. Its description in RNAcentral is "bacterial SSU rRNA". It matches the Rfam family "Bacterial small subunit ribosomal RNA", at positions 27 to 507 of the family's 1533-position model. The record is from RNAcentral.
GGAUGAACGCUAGCGGCAGGCUUAAUACAUGCAAGUCGAGGGGCAGCACGAAUAGCAAUAUUUGGUGGCGACCGGCGCACGGGUGCGUAACACGUAUACAACCUACCUAUAACAGGGGGAUAGCCUUUCGAAAGAGAGAUUAAUACCCCGUAAUAAAUUGAAUGGCAUCAUUUGAUUUUGAAAGCUACGGCGGUUAUAGAUGGGUAUGCGUCUGAUUAGCUAGUUGGUGAGGUAAUGGCUCACCAAGGCGACGAUCAGUAGGGGAUCUGAGAGGACUAACCCCCACACUGGUACUGAGACACGGACCAGACUCCUACGGGAGGCAGCAGUAAGGAAUAUUGGUCAAUGGAGGCAACUCUGAACCAGCCAUGCCGCGUGCAGGAUGACGGCCCUAUGGGUUGUAAACUGCUUUUGUACCAGAGAAAACCUAUCUACGUGUAGAUAGCUGAUAGUAUGGUAAGAAUAAGCAUCGGCUAACUUCGUG